GGAGCUUGCUCCUUUGAAGUUAGCGGCGGACGGGUGAGUAACACGUGGGUAACCUACCUAUAAGACUGGAAUAACUUCGGGAAACCGGAGCUAAUGCCGGAUAACAUUUGGAACCGCAUGGUUCUAAAGUAAAAGAUGGUUUUGCUAUCACUUAUAGAUGGACCCGCGCCGUAUUAGCUAGUUGGUAAGGUAACGGCUUACCAAGGCAACGAUACGUAGCCGACCUGAGAGGGUGAUCGGCCACACUGGAACUGAGACACGGUCCAGACUCCUACGGGAGGCAGCAGUAGGGAAUCUUCCGCAAUGGACGAAAGUCUGACGGAGCAACGCCGCGUGAGUGAUGAAGGUUUUCGGAUCGUAAAACUCUGUUAUUAGGGAAGAACAAAUGUGUAAGUAACUGUGCACAUCUUGACGGUACCUAAUCAGAAAGCCACGGCUAACUACGUGCCAGCAGCCGCGGUAAUACGUAGGUGGCAAGCGUUAUCCGGAAUUAUUGGGCGUAAAGCGCGCGUAGGCGGUUUCUUAAGUCUGAUGUGAAAGCCCACGGCUCAACCGUGGAGGGUCAUUGGAAACUGGGAAACUUGAGUACAGAAGAGGAAAGUGGAAUUCCAUGUGUAGCGGUGAAAUGCGCAGAGAUAUGGAGGAACACCAGUGGCGAAGGCGACUUUCUGGUCUGUAACUGACGCUGAUGUGCGAAAGCGUGGGGAUCAAACAGGAUUAGAUACCCUGGUAGUCCACGCCGUAAACGAUGAGUGCUAAGUGUUAGGGGGUUUCCGCCCCUUAGUGCUGCAGCUAACGCAUUAAGCACU
Molecule: ribosomal RNA, 809 nt
Filed under: Staphylococcus sp. JB368
Lineage: Bacteria; Bacillati; Bacillota; Bacilli; Caryophanales; Staphylococcaceae
Description: bacterial SSU rRNA
Rfam family: Bacterial small subunit ribosomal RNA
Source: RNAcentral